AGAUUCGUACAGGUUAUAGCCGCCCCACGCUGCCCAGGCAAGUGAUGUCACCUGUUCACCAAGAAAUUCAUCUGGGUUUACACCCCCUUGCAUCUCUCGUAACCUUAGCUGGGCGUCACUACAGACAUCUUCGAUUUACCACUGAGAAGAUGCCAGCCACUAUGCAACCUCUCUGCAGGCCACAGCAACAACAACUCUUGAGGAUGGGCAUGGCGUCGCACUGUUCUCCUCUCCGCUACUCUACUCCGUCAAUUCCUGGCUGUUUUUCCCCAACACAGAGCUCACGUAGGGUAACUGUAGAGAUGAACAAAGGACGUCGAUUCGAUGUCAGUGACAAAAGCAUGGGAUCCGCUGUUGGAACAAAAAGUGUUUAAUGGUCAGUAGGC
Acanthaster planci (crown-of-thorns starfish) is the source of this 386-nucleotide long non-coding RNA. The record is from RefSeq and is a predicted model, not a curated record. Lineage: Eukaryota; Metazoa; Echinodermata; Asteroidea; Valvatida; Acanthasteridae.